GCUGGCGACCAUAGCAAGAGUGAACCACCUGAUCCCUUCCCGAACUCAGAAGUGAAACCUCU
Molecule: ribosomal RNA, 62 nt
Filed under: Acinetobacter baumannii
Lineage: Bacteria; Pseudomonadati; Pseudomonadota; Gammaproteobacteria; Moraxellales; Moraxellaceae
Also listed under: 2 other names
Source: RNAcentral